This 497-nucleotide ribosomal RNA is filed under the name uncultured bacterium. RNAcentral's name for it is "partial 16S ribosomal RNA". It matches the Rfam family "Bacterial small subunit ribosomal RNA", at positions 28 to 507 of the family's 1533-position model. The record is from RNAcentral.
GAUGAACGCUGGCGGCGUGCCUAAUACAUGCGAGUCGAGCGAACAGACGAGGAGCUUGCUCCUCUGACGUUAGCGGCGGACGGGUGAGUAACACGUGGAUAACCUACCUAUAAGACUGGGAUAACUUCGGGAAACCGGAGCUAAUACCGGAUAAUAUAUUGAACCGCAUGGUUCAAUAGUGAAAGACGGUUUUGCUGUCACUUAUAGAUGGAUCCGCGCCGCAUUAGCUAGUUGGUAAGGUAACGGCUUACCAAGGCAACGAUGCGUAGCCGACCUGAGAGUGUGAUCGGCCACACUGGAACUGAGACACGGUCCAGACUCCUCCGGGAGGCAGCAGUAGGGAAUCUUCCGCAAUGGGCGAAAGCCUGACGGAGCAACGCCGCGUGAGUGAUGAAGGUCUUCGGAUCGUAAAACUCUGUUAUUAGGGAAGAACAAAUGUGUAAGUAACUAUGCACGUCUUGACGGUACCUAAUCAGAAAGCCACGGCUAACUACGUG